GUGCUCGCUUCGGCAGCACAUAUACUAAAAUUGGAACGAUGCAGAGAAGAUUAGCAUGGCCCCUGCACAAGGAUGACAUGUAAAUUCAUGAAGCAUACACACACACA
This 107-nucleotide small nuclear RNA is filed under the name Sorex araneus (European shrew). Lineage: Eukaryota; Metazoa; Chordata; Mammalia; Eulipotyphla; Soricidae. The record is from RNAcentral.